AAUGGCUUGACCACUAUUUCUGUAUUUAAAUGUGUUUUUGAUGCCACUUCCAUUUCAGUAAAUGUGCAAAGAAGGUUUGAGUUAUUCUGCAACUUAUUCAGUUUAAUCAAAGAUUACAUUUCAGCUUGAUAAGCCCUCUAUUCCCAGUCCCAGCAUGACUGUGCACAGUGACACAACGGAAGGGGUGCUGUAAGUGAAACAUGGCGUCUCCUCACAAAGUGGCAAAACCGAAGGGACAGGAUGCAGCAACAUGAAGUCAGGACAAACAGCAGGGGGAUGCUGGGAGUUCCUGCAGUUGGCAACAUCUGCAUGGGGAACGGCAGCCUUGGAUUUCUGCAGACCACUUCUGCAUCUGUACAGUUAAACCAGGACAACAGUUAAAAAGCGGUUUAAUGAUCUGUCCUGGCUCUCUGCAAGGUCAUUUGGGCACAAGGAAGAAGGGCCUGGCUGCUCAUUGGUACACAGAUCUAGAGAAGAAGGAGGGUGUGGAUCUGAUGUUUUUGGCAGCAGCAAGCCUUUAGGUUGGCUUAGCUGCAUCUUCUAGCUGCACCCAGAGCUAACCCUGCUGCAGACCCACCUGGCUUUUUUUUGUUUGUUUCUCCACCACCUCCCUCCUUCUACCAGCACUUGCACAGCCAGUUGAUGAUCUGUUUAGGGGGUCAAAGCCAACAAAAACAGUUUAGCUUUAACCAAGAUCAGCAUUACAGAUGAGUGCAAAGGGGACAGAAAAGAGGUGGGUGUGGGUGUGCAGGGAACGACCAGUUUUUGGUUUGUUUUUUACUGGUGGCAGUGACUGCAUAAGGUAUUAGUGAAACUACAUCCCUGGAGGCCUGGUGCUGUGGUUGAACCCUAGAAAAUGAGAGGUACCGAGUUUCCAGAGGGUAUUUGCAUGAAGCUCAGAGAGGAAAGGCGGUGGAUUUCUCUGUUUCACAUUUUGUUCACUGACUUCUUCCAAAGGGUAACUUGACUCAGUUGUUCAUCUCAGGCAAUUCUGUAUUUCUGCUCCUAAUAAAGUCUCUCUGUGAUUUAGUAUGGAGUGUGUA
This 1043-nucleotide long non-coding RNA is filed under the name Numida meleagris (helmeted guineafowl). Its description in RNAcentral is "lncRNA (ENSNMEG00000001488.1)". The record is from RNAcentral. Lineage: Eukaryota; Metazoa; Chordata; Aves; Galliformes; Numididae.